AUGCCCGGAGAUCUUAACCAGUGGAUAAUGAAGCAUUACGACCCUGAGAUUUCGCAUAUAGUAAUUCCAGAAAGGGGGAAGAUUCCUGUAGAUGCCGCAAGUGUCCGUAGGAUAUGGGGUUUGCCAAAUAGGGGCAGGAAAGUGUGCUUCGAGAAUCGGCCUCAAAUCACAAAGGCAAUGUACAGUAUUUACAACAUCACAUCCAAGAACUCCCCAACUCUCACAGAAUGGUGCAAGAUGAUCAUAGACAUGGGAGGAUCUUAUGAUGAUGACUUUGUCCGCGCUUGGCUAGCUCUUGUUUUUUCGUGCUUUCUUGCCCCUUCAACUAGUUUAAGUAUUUCCCUAAAAAGCUUCCCGACGGUCAUGGAUGUCAAUGGAAUAACGAAAACCAAUAUAUGCCAGUUUGUUGUUGAUCAACUAAAGCUUGCGUUCACUUCGGGGCGUGGCAACAAGAAGGUCAUUUGUUGUUGUGUUUUCCACCUUGUUGUAAGUGCUUCAAACUGUUUUGCUUUUUUUAAGCAUCCAUUGUUUACUUUUUUUUUCUUUUUUUGCAAUCAUUAG
This 561-nucleotide ribosomal RNA is filed under the name Triticum aestivum (bread wheat). RNAcentral describes it as "partial small subunit ribosomal RNA". Lineage: Eukaryota; Viridiplantae; Streptophyta; Magnoliopsida; Poales; Poaceae. The record is from RNAcentral.